UCACUUCACAUUAAGCUGAAGCUGCCUAUAUAGGCGCUGCCGGCUUUGGCCGGAUAUGGCGAUAAAUUGUGAUGUGUAAUAGACGCAGCGGACCCGGGGGCAGUACCCGGCGGCUCCACCAUAAACCCCGGUAAAACGGGGCAGAUGACGGGGCCGAACUAGGAUCGACGUGUGUUCAAAGACAUUGUUUUUGCCCGGGUUGAGAAUCCCCGUAAAAAGCUCACAACACAUAAGUGCAAACGAUAACGAAGCACUCGCAAUCGCUGCGUAAUCUGACGGCCUCACGGCCUGAUCUUACAAAGCCUUAGCGCGGUUGGACCGACCGGGCAACAGAACGGAUACC
This 343-nucleotide transfer-messenger RNA is filed under the name Allopontixanthobacter confluentis. It matches the Rfam family "Alphaproteobacteria transfer-messenger RNA". From Rfam's summary of the family: Bacterial tmRNA, also known as 10Sa RNA or SsrA, is named for its dual tRNA and mRNA-like properties. Its role is to liberate the mRNA from a stalled ribosome. To accomplish this part of the tmRNA is used as a reading frame that ends in a translation stop signal. The record is from RNAcentral. Lineage: Bacteria; Pseudomonadati; Pseudomonadota; Alphaproteobacteria; Sphingomonadales; Erythrobacteraceae.